RNAcentral lists this unclassified non-coding RNA (219 nucleotides) under Hevea brasiliensis (rubber tree). Lineage: Eukaryota; Viridiplantae; Streptophyta; Magnoliopsida; Malpighiales; Euphorbiaceae. The record is from RNAcentral.
UUGCUGAAGUUAUGGAUCCAUCAUUAAGAAUGUGAAUUUGGGAGACAAAUAGCUUUGGGAUUCAAACCCUAGGGUAAAAUGAAGAAGAAUGAGAAUAUGGGAGAAAAAUAGUUGAGACUCAAAUCCUAGGCUCUAAUGAAGGAGAAGAAGAAGAGAGUAGAGAGUAGGGACUUCAACCAUAGACUCUCAAAUCAUAAGAAAGAGAAGAAGAGAAAGAUG